Molecule: small RNA, 213 nt
Filed under: Mycobacterium tuberculosis H37Rv
Lineage: Bacteria; Bacillati; Actinomycetota; Actinomycetes; Mycobacteriales; Mycobacteriaceae
Also listed under: 3 other names
Description: Putative small regulatory RNA
Rfam family: AS1726 sRNA (bases 137-213)
Source: RNAcentral
CGACGAAGCCGGCCACGGCGACCGGACCGAACGGAUGGGUGGCGAAUUCGAAUUCAGUGACAAUGCCGAAAUUGCCGCCCCCGCCCCGCAGGCCCCACAUCAGCUCCGGGUCGCGCUCGUCGUCGACGCUUAGGUAGUCGCCGGCGGCGGUGACUAGCCGCACCGCGACCAGGUUGUCGCAGCUCAGUCCGAAACGUCGAGUCGUCCAACCCA